AUUGAACGCUGGCGGCAGGCCUAACACAUGCAAGUCGAGCGGAUGAAGGGAGCUUGCUCCUGGAUUCAGCGGCGGACGGGUGAGUAAUGCCUAGGAAUCUGCCUGGUCGUGGGGGAUAACGUCCGGACACGGGCGCUAAUACCGCAUACGUCCUGAGGGAGAAAGUGGGGGAUCUUCGGACCUCACGCUAUCAGAUGAGCCUAGGUCGGAUUAGCUAGUUGGUGGGGUAAAGGCCUACCAAGGCGACGAUCCGUAACUGGUCUGAGAGGAUGAUCAGUCACACUGGAACUGAGACACGGUCCAGACUCCUACGGGAGGCAGCAGUGGGGAAUAUUGGACAAUGGGCGAAAGCCUGAUCCAGCCAUGCCGCGUGUGUGAAGAAGGUCUUCGGAUUGUAAAGCACUUUAAGUUGGGAGGAAGAGCAGUAAGUUAAUACCUUGCUGUUUUGACGUUACCAACAGAAUAAGCACCGGCUAACUUCGUG
RNAcentral lists this ribosomal RNA (484 nucleotides) under uncultured bacterium. RNAcentral's name for it is "partial 16S ribosomal RNA". It matches the Rfam family "Bacterial small subunit ribosomal RNA", at positions 30 to 507 of the family's 1533-position model. The record is from RNAcentral.